AUUGAACGCUGGCGGCAGGCCUAACACAUGCAAGUCGAGCGGAUGAAGCACUCUUGCUCUUGUCUUCAGCGGCGCACGUGUGUGUAAUGCCUAUGAUUCUGCCUGCUCGUGGGGAUUAACGCCCGGAACCGUGCUUUAUUCCCGCUUUCGUCCUGUGUGAGAUAGUGUGUGGUCUUCGGAUCUUCCGCUAUCAGUUUACCCUAGGUCGAUUUAGCUUGUUGGUGGGUUAAAGGCCUACCAAGGCUCCCAUCCGUACCUGGUCUGUGAGGAUGAUCAGUCACACUGGAACGGAGACACGGUCAAGACGACUAAGAGAGGCAGCAGUGGGGAAUAUUGGACAAUGGGCGAAAGCCUGAGCCAGUCAGGCCGCGUGUGUGAAGAAGGUCUUCGGAGAGUAAAGCACUCUAAGGUGGGAGGAAGGGCAGUAAGUAAAGACCAAGCUGAUUUGACGUUACCAACAGAAGAAGCACCGGCUAACUACGUG
RNAcentral lists this ribosomal RNA (484 nucleotides) under uncultured bacterium. RNAcentral describes it as "partial 16S ribosomal RNA". It matches the Rfam family "Bacterial small subunit ribosomal RNA", at positions 30 to 507 of the family's 1533-position model. The record is from RNAcentral.